RNAcentral lists this small nuclear RNA (212 nucleotides) under Suricata suricatta (meerkat). RNAcentral's name for it is "U2 spliceosomal RNA (ENSSSUG00005007674.1)". It matches the Rfam family "U2 spliceosomal RNA". Rfam says of the family: U2 is a small nuclear RNA (snRNA) component of the spliceosome (involved in pre-mRNA splicing). Complementary binding between U2 snRNA (in an area lying towards the 5' end but 3' to hairpin I) and the branchpoint sequence (BPS) of the intron results the bulging out of an unpaired adenosine, on the BPS, which initiates a nucleophilic attack at the intronic 5' splice site, thus starting the first of two transesterification reactions that mediate splicing. Lineage: Eukaryota; Metazoa; Chordata; Mammalia; Carnivora; Herpestidae. The record is from Rfam by way of RNAcentral.
AUCGCUUCUCAGCCUUUUGGCUAAGAUCAAGUGUACUAUUCUUGGGAGUAGAUACCCUUCCAAACCAUCCAAUUAUUCCCUACUGUUUGAUUUCCUAUUGUUUUUAACUUCUCAUGAUUAUUUUAAAAUACUACAAUAAGCAUUUUCAUAUAUGUAGUUUUCUUCCAUUCUUUGAGACUAGAUUGUAUAGUCUAGUAGUCAAUGACUAUUUC